RNAcentral lists this small RNA (777 nucleotides) under Histoplasma ohiense. RNAcentral's name for it is "hypothetical lncRNA". Lineage: Eukaryota; Fungi; Ascomycota; Eurotiomycetes; Onygenales; Ajellomycetaceae. The record is from RNAcentral.
GCCAACCUAUCUAUUGCUGCAAGCUAUCCCUCACUGCUAAGCUAUCGCCGCUGCCAACCUAUCUAUUGCUGCAAGCUAUCGCCGCUGCCAACCUAUCUAUUGCUGCAAGCUAUCCCUCGCUGCUAAGCUAUCCCUCGCUGCUAAGCUAUCCCUCGCUGCUAAGCUAUCCCUCGCUGCUAAGCUAUCCCUCGCUGCUAAGCUAUCCCUCGCUGCUAAGCUAUCCCUCGCUGCUAAGCUAUCCCUCACUACUAAGCUAUCUAUCACUGCUAAUCUAUCGCUGCCAACCUAUCUAUCACUGCCAAUCUAUCUAUCGCUGCUAAUCUAUCGCUGCUAAUCUAUCACUGCUAAUCUAUCGCUGCCAAUCUAUCUAUCGCUGCCAAUUUAUCCACCACUGCCAAUCUAUCUAUUGCUGCUAAUCUAUUGCUGCUGCCAAUCUAUCUAUCGCUGCUAAUCUAUCGCUGCUAAUCUAUCGCUGCUAAUCUAUCGCUGCCAACCUAUCUACCGCGGCGAAUCUAUCUAUCACUAUCAUUACUAGUUCAAAAUAGAACUAGAGCAUAAAUACACUAAACUUCUUUUGAUAGGUAAUGAUUUUUGGUAACGCUCAUAGCAUUAUAUCAUCUAUAUAGGGUAAAUCAUGGUCCCAUUUGGUCCCAUUUUGUUAAAAUGGGACCAAAUGGGACCAGAAUCAGUAAUUUAUAAGAAGAACAUGACCUGGGACUAGAUUUAUAAUAUAAACAGUGUAAAGUGACUAAUUUAAUAAACACUAUAUGGGACCAG